UACGGGGGGGGCAAGCGUUGUUCGGAAUUACUGGGCGUAAAGGGCUCGUAGGUGGCCAACUAAGUCAGACGUGAAAUCCCUCGGCUUAACCGGGGAACUGCGUCUGAUACUGGAUGGCUUGAGUUUGGGAGAGGAAUGCGGAAUUCCAGGUGUAGCGGUGAAAUGCGUAGAUAUCUGGAGGAACACCGGUGGCGAAGGCGGCAUUCUGGACCAAUACUGACGCUGAGGAGCGAAAGCCAGGGGAGCAAACGGG
This 253-nucleotide ribosomal RNA is filed under the name uncultured bacterium. RNAcentral's name for it is "partial 16S ribosomal RNA". It matches the Rfam family "Bacterial small subunit ribosomal RNA", at positions 524 to 776 of the family's 1533-position model. The record is from RNAcentral.